Molecule: long non-coding RNA, 1445 nt
Filed under: Scleropages formosus (Asian bonytongue)
Lineage: Eukaryota; Metazoa; Chordata; Actinopteri; Osteoglossiformes; Osteoglossidae
Description: lncRNA (ENSSFOG00015025583.1)
Source: RNAcentral
GCUUUGCUGCCAGCGUCGAUGUGGUCCAGACAAGACCUGCGGCACACAGUGGAUGCCCCUGGCUACUGACGUCAAGAUCGGCAAGGAGAUACAAGAAAGAAUAGCUGCUUUAUCUCUCCUGGGAUCUGGACACUCGCGUCCUCUAUCAACAACAACGCACACACACUCUCGUUCUGUGCUUUGGUCUGCUCUGGUGUUACGCAGCUGGUCCGAAAACAAAAAGAAGCCUUUGUCAAGCCCACCGCACCUGGGCAAUCCGCUACCACUCUCACAAGACUAAAUACAAAAUUAUACAUAAAAGCCCCUCAUGAAUAUGAAAUAAGAGUUUCAAAAUCCCUUCAUCAGGAGCCACAAGGUUUGCGUGUAUAUAUUAGUCAUCCAUGUAACUCAUUUAUUUUUGUGUACUAACAAAUCACAGCUCAUAACUUUCGUAGUCAAGUGUACAGGCAGUGUUUGGACAAAAUUCGUUCCAUAGCUCAUUAAAGUACGGCGGAAUAUGUUGCUAAAUUGCUGGUAGGACUCUGACAUCUGGUGGGCAUUGGAAACUGAGCAAGUGAUCCGACCUUCCGAAGUACAUACAGAUUAGCCCUUGCAUUACAAGAGUACAGGCAUCCCAUGAUUUAUGAACAAUCUUUAUCAGAAAUUUCAGUAUAAGGCCGUUGGUUUUUGAUACCCAAUUUUAAGCUUCCGGUAUAACAACAUUUAUCCAAAGUGUGUCCAAAAAAACAGAAAAACUGAAAGUCACACACAUUGUGUAAGUGAAGCAGAAGUGCAGGAAUGUACUGUGUAUCUGUUAGUGUGUUGGGAAUAUGGGGGUGUUGCUUUAAGAAAGUAGGGGUGUGUAUGAAAUUCCACAGCAGUGUCUGCUGGCCAUAUUGGGUGUGUUAAUUUAAUUUAAUAAUUGCAGAGAAAACAGACCGACUGGCACGGAAAGUUUAGUUAAUGAUUUUCAGGUAUGUACAGUCUGCGCAUUUUAGCAGCAGUGUGCAGUUUUAGAAAGUUGUUCACACUAAAGGCAACGUGUUCAGCGGAAUCCUGCUUGGUUUAUUGUUCAUCCUGCAGAGAACCGAUCAAAAAAGAAAAGCGGAAAUACCCCCAGAGCAAUGACAACUCACAACUCGAAAAGGAGCCUCAGUGCUGUGAGGGAAGCCUGUCUUUCUUUCAUCCAUCCAUCAUGAAUAACUGCUUCUCCAGAGCAGGGCUGCGAGGGUCCAGAGUCUCUCCCGGAAGUUUACCAUCAGAAAAAGUACGGCGAGAUAAAGACAUUCGUCUGAUGUGAACUGCUCCGGAGGAAUGCUUUAUGGGUGGAGAAAAAGAGACGAGCCUGCAGGAGCACCUUGAAACAAAUAAGAAGCCAUCACUGCGGAAUACGGGGGUGUGUGAGUCGCGGUAGAAUGCAGUACGGCAGCUUUCCGGAAGUUAAGUUACAUGGGAGAGGUAGAAAU